UAAUUAGAAACAAUAGUUGCUUUGGAUUCAAAUUGUUGUCUUUUGUUUUUAAAGAUCAACAACGCAGAAGGCAUUGGUGGCAAUCAUCAGGGUUUUGGUAGCAACUUGACUCAUGAUUUUUUCAAAAAUAGCAUAUGGACAAGUACAAUACAUGAAGAUAGCAUACCAUGGAUGCAGAUUGUUAUCGAAAGAUGAAAAAGUCGCUACACAUGGGAACACUCUUAUUAUAGAUGCUUUUGAUGGUCCUAAUUACGCACACAUUGAUACAUUUAUCUCUUUAGCUGAAGCAUCUUUUUGCUUAGCUCAUACAUUUCAAGGAUAGUAAUCCGUAUAAAAUCUCAGAAGUAGAAGGGUGGAAGGCUCUGGACUCCGCAGCUUUGUGUACACUAGGAGCACUUGCAUUAGCCACUAAACCUCCUACCAAUGAAUUGAUGGAAUGACAACUGGACCGAAUUAAUG
Molecule: long non-coding RNA, 459 nt
Organism: Helianthus annuus (common sunflower)
Lineage: Eukaryota; Viridiplantae; Streptophyta; Magnoliopsida; Asterales; Asteraceae
Exons: 3
Source: RefSeq, a predicted model, not a curated record